AAUUAUUUUUCGCGGUUUAUUUUUUUAGAUAAUGUGGCUUUGGAAGGCGUAUCUUGUUAUUAUAGUAAGUUUACAGGCAUGUGGACUUACGUCUCUUGACAUAACCGGGUCUUCGGAAUUAAAAAAUUAUAAGGAUGUGUUUUUGCCCGGGCUUCCUGGUGGAAAACCUACUCUUGGGUCGACCACUGCCACCUGCUGGGCGCGUGGUGGAAUCUGCAUCGACAUUCGCCACUGCACCACCAUGAGCUUCGACCCCUCCGUCCCUGGUUGUACCAGAGGCUUCAAGGUUUGCUGCAAGCAUAUGUAUAAGUUUGGUUCCCCCACCGUGGGCAUCAAAAGGAAAAGUACUGAGUUACUCAUUUUCUCGUCGAGCCUCCAAGAACUUGACCAGGACUCGAUUCGUCUGCUUGCGUUGAUGAAUACCAAUAUAUUAGAAAAUCUAUAGUGUCUUCUUUGUGUUAUUUGUUAUUACUUGUAUAUUUUUUACUCAAAUAAUUCUUCAUAUUGUAAGUUUUAGAACCGUUUAGUAUGCCCGGUUGGUAGCGGUCUGCGUCCAGCGCCUUCCUGCUACCUUUAUGAUGUCGUCGGUCCACCUUGUGGAACUGGACGCAAGCCGCUAUCAACCGGGCAACAUGGAAAGCAUUGGGGGAGGCCUAUGUUCAGCAGUGGACGUCCUAUGGCUGAGAUGAUAAUGAUGAUGAUGAUGAUGAUGCAGAUUAGUGUGUACCAUGAGAUUGAACUUACAAAUUAACCUGAAUAAAAUCCCAAGACUUU
Ostrinia nubilalis (European corn borer) is the source of this 774-nucleotide long non-coding RNA. RefSeq lists it as uncharacterized. NCBI's taxonomy places the organism in Eukaryota, Metazoa, Arthropoda, Insecta, Lepidoptera, Crambidae. The transcript is spliced from 2 exons. The record is from RefSeq and is a predicted model, not a curated record.